Molecule: ribosomal RNA, 431 nt
Filed under: uncultured bacterium
Lineage: Bacteria
Description: partial 16S ribosomal RNA
Rfam family: Bacterial small subunit ribosomal RNA
Source: RNAcentral
AACGAACGCUGGCGGCAGGCUUAACACAUGCAAGUCGAACGCACCGCCAGGGGUGUGGCCGACGGGUGGGUAGGGCGAGGGGACAUACACUUUUCUGUGGCAUAGCCUCGGGAUACUGGAAUUAUUACCGCAUACGCGCUACGGGGGAAAGAUUUAUCGGGGAAGGAUUGGGGCGCGUUGGAUUUGCGAGGUGGUGGGGUGAAGGCCUAGCAAGGCGGCGAGUCAUAGCUGGUCGGGGAGGAUGAUACGUCACAUUGGGACUGGGGCACGGCCCAAACUCCUACGGGAGGGAGCAGUAGGGAGUAUUGGGCGAGGGGGGCAAGUCUGAUCCAGCCAUGCCGGGGGAGUGAUGAAGGCCUUAGGGAUGUAAAGCUCUUUCACCGAUGGAGAUAAUGACGGUAGUCGGAGAAGAAGCCCCGGCUAACUUCGUG